CGCGUAGGCGGUUGGAUAAGUCAGCUGUGAAAACCACGGGCUUAACUCGUGGCCUGCAGUUGAGACUGUCUGGCUUGAGUGUGGGAGAGGAGAGUGGAAUUCCUGGUGUAGCGGUGAAAUGCAUAGAUAUCAGGAGGAACACCGGUGGCGAAGGCGGCUCUCUGGACCACAACUGACGCUGAGGCGCGAAAGCUAGGGGAGCAAACA
Molecule: ribosomal RNA, 207 nt
Filed under: uncultured bacterium
Lineage: Bacteria
Description: partial 16S ribosomal RNA
Rfam family: Bacterial small subunit ribosomal RNA
Source: RNAcentral